This 492-nucleotide ribosomal RNA is filed under the name uncultured bacterium. RNAcentral describes it as "partial 16S ribosomal RNA". It matches the Rfam family "Bacterial small subunit ribosomal RNA", at positions 29 to 507 of the family's 1533-position model. The record is from RNAcentral.
AGUGAACGCUGGCGGUAGGCCUAACACAUGCAAGUCGAACGGCAGCACAGUAAGAGCUUGCUCUUACGGGUGGCGAGUGGCGGAAGGGUGAGGAAUACAUCGGAAUCUACUUUUUCGUGGGGGAUAACGUAGGGAAACUUACGCUAAUACCGCAUACGACCUACGGUUGAAAGCAGGGGAUCUUCUGACCUUGCGCGAUUGAAUGAGCCGAUGUCGGAUUAGCUAGGUGGCGGGGUAAAGGCCCACCAAGGCGACGAUCCGUAGCUGGGCUGAGAGGAUGAUGAGCGCCACUGGACGUGAGCCACGGUCCAGACUCCUAGGGGAGGCAGCGGUGGGGAAUAUUGGACAAUGGGCGCAAGCCUGAUCCAGCCAUGCCGCGCGGGUGAAGAGGGCCUUCGGGUUGUAAAGCCCUUUUGUUGGGAAAGAAAAGCAGCAGGUUAAUACCCCGCUGUUCUGACGGUACCCAAAGAAUAAGCACCGGCUAACUUCGUG